UUCUCAGACCCGGAACUACAAUUCCCAGGGAGCGUGGUCCCUGCGAAAUGCUGGGAGAUGCAGUUCUCAGUUCUGCCUCCAUGUUACGAAAAAGAAGUGAAGGAGAAGAAAAAAGGGAACGAAUAUGCCAACCCACCGAGAAUGGCUGGCCUUGCAGAACUCCCAGGGCAGAGAAGAGAGCUAAUUAAGGUACCAGAUACUUUCCAUGCUGUGAAGAGCUGACAAAAGCGAGAGUUGUUACUAACAAAUGCCAGAAAAGAACUGGGAGAUCACUUGCUUUGGCAGAAGCCAGCUGCCAUGUCGUGAGAACAGAUUCACAUUAUGAGGAACUAAGACCUCCUGCCAACAACCAAGCUUCCUGUCAAGCCUUCAGAUGACUGCAACCUCACGAAGCCCCUGAAUCACGUAGUUAGGCCACACUUCUAAAUUCCUGACCACAGAAAAUAUGUGAGACAAUAAAUGUCUAUUGUUUUAAGCCACUAA
This is a long non-coding RNA of Pteropus alecto (black flying fox), 483 nucleotides long. RefSeq lists it as uncharacterized. The transcript has 3 exons. The record is from RefSeq and is a predicted model, not a curated record. NCBI's taxonomy places the organism in Eukaryota, Metazoa, Chordata, Mammalia, Chiroptera, Pteropodidae.